GUACUUGCUUUGGCAGCACAUAUACUAAAAUUGAAAUGACACAGAGAAGAUUAGCAUGGCCCCUGCGCAUGUUGUCAUGCAAAUUCAUGAAGCAUUCCAGAUUUUU
Molecule: small nuclear RNA, 106 nt
Organism: Rhinolophus ferrumequinum (greater horseshoe bat)
Lineage: Eukaryota; Metazoa; Chordata; Mammalia; Chiroptera; Rhinolophidae
Source: Ensembl